UAUUGGACAAUGGGUGGAACCCUGAUCCAGCGACGCCGCGUGAGUGAAGAAGUAUCUCGCUAUGUAAAGCUCUAUCAGCAGGGAAGAAAGAAAUGAGGGUACCUGAGUAAGAAGCCCCGGCUAACUACGUGCCAGCAGCCGCGGUAAUACGUAGGGGGCAAGCGUUAUCCUGAAGUACUGGGUGUAAAGGGAGCGUAGACGGUGAUGUAAGUCUGGAGUGAAAGGCGGGGGCCCAACCCCCGGACUGCUCUGGAAACUAUGUGACUGGAGUGCAGGAGAGGUGAGCGGAAUUCCUAGUGUAGCGAUGAAAUGCGUAGAUAUUAGGAGGAACACCAGUGGCGAAGGCGGCUCACUGGACUGUAACUGACGUUGAGGCUCGAAAGCGUGGGGAGCA
Molecule: ribosomal RNA, 394 nt
Filed under: uncultured bacterium
Lineage: Bacteria
Description: bacterial SSU rRNA
Rfam family: Bacterial small subunit ribosomal RNA
Source: RNAcentral